GACGAACCGUGCGAACGUUAUUCGGAAUCACUGGGCGUAAAGCGCACGUAGGCGGAUCGUUAAGUCAGGGGUGAAAUCCUGGAGCUCAACUCCAGAACUGCCUUUGAUACUGGCGACCUUGAGUUCGGGAGAGGUGAGUGGAACUGCGAGUGUAGAGGUGAAAUUCGUAGAUAUUCGCAAGAACACCAGUGGCGAAGGCGGCUCACUGGCCCGAUACUGACGCUGAGGUGCGAAAGCGUGGGGAGCAAACAGG
This 253-nucleotide ribosomal RNA is filed under the name uncultured bacterium. RNAcentral's name for it is "partial 16S ribosomal RNA". It matches the Rfam family "Bacterial small subunit ribosomal RNA", at positions 524 to 776 of the family's 1533-position model. The record is from RNAcentral.